Molecule: long non-coding RNA, 1187 nt
Organism: Pseudoliparis swirei
Lineage: Eukaryota; Metazoa; Chordata; Actinopteri; Perciformes; Liparidae
Exons: 2
Source: RefSeq, a predicted model, not a curated record
AAAUGAUGCUAGCUGAGCCAUGACGUCACACUAGUUGACACAAUUUAAAGUAAGUUAAAAUGCAAUGUGAGCCACACUAAAAAAUGUAUCUUCAAAUAUCAGUUUCACGCCGACGUCUCAUCUCUGGCGUUCAUCUGUAGUAUUUAAAGCCGCCACCAGGUGGCAGUAGAGUCCAACACCCUGAGAGCCCAUGCAGGUCACCUGGUUGAUGCCAGAGGGAGUGCGGUUGCUUAUAGGUGGUCCACUUUUAGACCAUGUUGCAAUCUCGCCAACAAUUUGGCCUACUGGUACUAUUAAGACAGUCUCGUGUUACAAGUGUACUGAAGCUGUGAAUAGAUCCCUGUUUGAGUCGAGUUGUGAUUUACUGUGCCAGGAUUAGCUAAUCUACAUCUGACGCGAGGGGUUUUAAAGAAGAAACGUAUGGUGUCUUUGAGGGCUUAUGAGGCGCCACGCUAAAUGUCCCAUGCCUUUUAAGGGAGAAAACUCAAAUUAAAAACUGCUUUUAUCUUGAUUCUCGUUGCGUCUCGGCUGUCUGAUUUCAGAGGCUGAUACUUCUGAGAAAUGGCCACAGUUGUUGCUCCGUGGUGACUCAUCGACUUCACCUUCUCUUAUUGCUGCCGGGGCCCCGGGUCCACUGUUUGCUGGAGGGAUACAGCACCUGUCAAUCUAAGAAGCUCACCCCGUGGUCCAACUGUCAAGUGUGACGGUCAUUGGAGCCCCCGUAGACAGCAGGGACUUCAGUGGGACGAGAUGCCAUUGACACUUGAGUCGGUGUCCUUUCAAGUUUCUGUUUUAUUUUCAGGGUUCAAGUGGUGAGCUCUUGAAGUCGAGGCGCUUAACCAGCGUGGGAGUGACACUGAUAGAUAUGUGUGACUUCAAGAUGAAAGAAAUAUGUGUAUUUAAGAGGGAGAAGUUGGCCUGCAAAUAUUUUUUGAUCCGUAAUUGCCAAAAAAUCCUGGCUCCAAAUUAAAUGGGUAGGAUGUAUUUUGGGAUCAUUAGAGCAAUAUGUGAAGCAAAUCUUUAAUUAUGUUUCCUUUUUCUGCCGCGCCUGCUUCCACUAGUUGGUUUGUCAUGUAAGCAUAUUUGAAAUUCUCCCCAAAUGAGUUGUGUUGUUGUGAUUGAGCCUGAUUGGUACAAUAAAGCCAUUUCAUAUGUACUGAGUCAAAUAUUAAAAUGAAUACAUUGGU